GUGAAUUUCCCAUACAAGACAUAAAUUCUGCCUUGUUCACUCAUCUUUCAUGCGCUUUUGCUGAAGUGAACACUUCAACUUAUCAGCUUUUUGUCCCCUCUGUCUCUGAACAAUACUUCUCAACCUUUGCAAGCAUCGUCAAGCGUAAAAACCCGUCUGUUAAAACACUGGUGUCUGUCUGAAAUGGAAUCUCUGCAACAGGAAAAUCUAUCACUGGUGAAAAAGUUAAUGACUCAGUUUUAUCUUCAAUGAUCUCAGAAUCUUCUAGAAGGAAGUCUUUCAUUGACCCUCAAUAAAAACAGCUAGGCGUUAUGGUUUUGAUGGAAUAGACUUGUGCUGGGUUUGGCCUAACAGCACAGACUUGUUCAAUAUUGGGGGUUUAUUGGAUGAGUGGCGAGCUGCCAUAAAUUCAGAACCAGGAAAACCAAGUCAGUCACAAUUGAUCUUAACAAUGGGGGUUCGUUACUUGCCAACAAUUGAAAUGGUAAGUUAUCCAAUCGACUCCAUAAGUAGGAAUGUUGAUUGGGCGCAUGUUGUGGCAUAUGACUACCAUUUGCCUACCAGGGAGAAUUUUACAGGAGUCCAUGCUGCUUUGCAUAAUCCCUCUAGUCAUGUUAACACAGAUUUUGGCAUCAGGGAAUGGUUGAAUAAAGGAUUUCCACCAACCAAACUGGUUUUGGGAUUGCCUUACCAUGGAUGGGCAUGGAAAUUGGUGAGCAGCAAAGAUAAUGCUAUUGGUGCACCAGCGUCAGGUCCAGCUAUCACCAUUGAUGGUUCUAUGGGCUACAAAACCAUCAAAUCAUACAUUCAGGAUAAUGGUUAUGGAGCUGCUUCUGUAUACAAUGCAACUUAUGUAGUGAACUUGUUCACGUCUCCAACACUUUCGAUCAAUUUUGAUGGUGUAGAGGUGGUCAAAGCAAAAAUUUCCUAUGCAAAGGAGAAAAGGCUUAUUGGUUUUAAAGCGUUUCAUCUUUCAAAUGAUGAGAAUUGGGCUCUAUCGCGGGCAGGUAGGUUCUAAAUUUCCUUUAAUGCUUUCAGGCAUGUGAUAAUUUCAAUUUGGCAACCCUCUCUAAUCCCUUAAGGCAUGAGGCUGACUCAAAUGCGGCAAGAUUUUGGUCUAAGAAGUAUACAACAUCUGGCAAGAGCAAAUCAUUUGUAUCAACAAAAUUAGACGAGCAGGAAUUUCUUUUCUCUGGCAUCUAAGCAGAUUUUGUGUUUCACUUGGUAUAUUAAGAACUCUGCAUCAGAGAACUAGUAUUUUUGCAGCUUAAAAUAUUUCGUAACUUUCUCAGAUCAAUCUUACAGAACUCAAACAAGACAAUAUAGAUACUGAAAACUUUACCAAUUUUGAGGACAGAUUCUAAUUAACAUGCUAAACUACAUUGCCAGCUCAAGAGGAAGAUAAUCAGGAAAACAACAAGCGGCUGUUACUUAAAAUGAUCCUUCCAGUUUCUGUAGUUGUUAUACUGGCAGCUGCUAUGCUGUAUUACUUGCGAAGGAGAAAGGUCAAAUCAAAAUGUAACUCUACCUUCAACCAUGAGAAAAGGAAUUGAAGCAAAUAUUUAAAUUGUUAACAAGUCAUAAAAGGAAACACUUUUUGGUGUUCCUUGUGCAUUUUUNNNNNNNNNNNNNNNNNNNNNNNNNNNNNNNNNNNNNNNNNNNNNNNNNNNNNNNNNNNNNNNNNNNNNNNNNNNNNNNNNNNNNNNNNNNNNNNNNNNNNNNNNNNNNNNNNNNNNNNNNNNNNNNNNNNNNNNNNNNNNNNNNNNNNNNNNNNNNNNNNNNNNNNNNNNNNNNNNNNNNNNNNNNNNNNNNNNNNNNNNNNNNNNNNNNNNNNNNNNNNNNNNNNNNNNNNNNNNNNNNNNNNNNNNNNNNNNNNNNNNNNNNNNNNNNNNNNNNNNNNNNNNNNNNNNNNNNNNNNNNNNNNNNNNNNNNNNNNNNNNNNNNNNNNNNNNNNNNNNNNNNNNNNNNNNNNNNNNNNNNNNNNNNNNNNNNNNNNNNNNNNNNNNNNNNNNNNNNNNNNNNNNNNNNNNNNNNNNNNNNNNNNNNNNNNNNNNNNNNNNNNNNNNNNNNNNNNNNNNNNNNNNNNNNNNNNNNNNNNNNNNNNNNNNNNNNNNNNNNNNNNNNNNNNNNNNNNNNNNNNNNNNNNNNNNNNNNNNNNNNNNNNNNNNNNNNNNNNNNNNNNNNNNNNNNNNNNNNNNNNNNNNNNNNNNNNNNNNNNNNNNNNNNNNNNNNNNNNNNNNNNNNNNNNNNNNNNNNNNNNNNNNNNNNNNNNNNNNNNNNNNNNNNNNNNNNNNNNNNNNNNNNNNNNNNNNNNNNNNNNNNNNNNNNNNNNNNNNNNNNNNNNNNNNNNNNNNNNNNNNNNNNNNNNNNNNNNNNNNNNNNNNNNNNNNNNNNNNNNNNNNNNNNNNNNNNNNNNNNNNNNNNNNNNNNNNNNNNNNNNNNNNNNNNNNNNNNNNNNNNNNNNNNNNNNNNNNNNNNNNNNNNNNNNNNNNNNNNNNNNNNNNNNNNNNNNNNNNNNNNNNNNNNNNNNNNNNNNNNNNNNNNNNNNNNNNNNNNNNNNNNNNNNNNNNNNNNNNNNNNNNNNNNNNNNNNNNNNNNNNNNNNNNNNNNNNNNNNNNNAGAACCAAUAUCAGUCCCUAAUUUAGAUGAUCCAAAAGAAAAAAAAAUUAAGGCCCAAAGAGAAAGGAGCCUGUAGAAGCCUCAAAAGUUGAAUAAAAGAUAAACUUGUUAGAGGAAAGGCUACAAGCAGUGGAGGAAGUUGGUUUGUAUGGCUCAGUUGAUGCUACUGGAUUCUGUUUAAUCUCAGAUGUGGUUAUUUCUCCAAAAUUUAAGGUGCUAGAGUUUAAGAAGUAUAAUGAUACAAAAUGUUGGAAAACUCACAUUAUCAUGUACUAUCGAAAAAUGGCUACUCAUGCUAAUAAUGAAAAGCUAUUAAUGCAUGUGUUCCAAGACAGCCUAACAAGUUUUCCUGUAAGGUGGUAUGUCCAAUUGGAUAGGAUCCGUAUUCGUUCUUGGAGCGAUAUGACUCAUGCUUUUAUUAGUCAAUACCAACAUAUAAUAAACUUGGCCCCUGAUCGUCUUUCUUUAUAGAAUAUGAAGAAAAAAGUAAUUGAAUCAUUCAAAAAAUAUGUCCAACAAUAGAGGGAUAUUACUUCUUAAGUACAACCUCAUUCGACUGAAAAAGAAACCAUCGUAUUAUUUGUCAACACUUUGAAAUAUCUCUAUUAUGAAAAGAUGAUAGGGAAUGCCACAAAAAAUUUCGUUGACAUGGUGAUCUCAGGCGAAAUCAUUGAGAAUGCCAUUAAAAAAUGGUAAGCUGAAAUGAGGAGAAACCAAGAAAGCACCCGAGAAGAAAGAGACUGAAGUUUAAGAUGUGAGUUUUGAUAGACAGUUCAGAGGAUAUCAAACCUAUCCAUCCUAAGGUUACUCUCCAUACUAUCCUGCUAUGAAUAAUGGUUCAUCUUAUCUAUACCAAUCAGCCCCACAACCACCUAAUUCAUCCACAUAUUAGCCCAUUUUUAUCCCUCAAGCCCUCACAUAUAGUUUUAACAUUCAAACUCCUAUAAGACCUCAAAUUCAUCCUGUUAGCCUGGCAAGUGGUUCACAAGAGCAAUAGACUAUUCGAAAAAAGCUCGUAUUUGAUCUAAUCCUCAUGACUUCUACGAAGUUAUACCGAGAGCUUUAUAAUAGCCAUUUGAUUACCCCCAAGCCAUGUGGAGUCGCUCAAGUCACCUUAUCCUAAGUGAUAUGAUCUUACAGCUCACUGUGACUACCACUACAGAAUUGCUGGUUAUUUCACUAAAAAUUACACUACUCUAAAGCAUAAGGUGCAAUAGUUAAUCAAGGAUGAAAUGGUAAGUUUUGAUCAAGAAAAAGUAACAACACCUAAUGUUAGUGGUAAUCUAUUACCUAAUCACAAUGUCAAUGCCCUGAAUGAGAAUCAAUAAUAUGUUAAUUAAAAAAGGCCUGAAGAGUCACAAUGAAUUAAAGGGGCGAGAUAAAAAUCCUUCACUUGAUUGCACAGAGGCAUGAUUUUAAAGAAGGAUGUUAAAACUGGUUGAAUGCUACUUAUCAUUCUAAGAGUUCUUUUAAAGUAAUGUUAGGAUUUUUUUCUUGCAAUAUGAUUUCACUUGUUAUCAUUUUAGUAAAGGUAAGUUAAUGCAUUUUCGUUACAUUUUUAUUUCACUCGACCAUUAUUCCAUGCUCUGUUACCUUUCAUAACUUUACAUUCCCAUUUUCAAAUUUUAGAUGAUGAAUAUUUAGACAAUGAUAAAAAUAAUUCUGGGAUUUAAUUUUAAGAACUCAUCCACAUUAAUAUGAGAAGAUGAUUUGAGCAAAAAAGUAAGCUGUUACUAGAGGUGAAAUAGAUAUGUCUUGAAGAUAUGUAAUUUUUUAUACAGGUUCAUAAGCUUUGUUCAAUAGAUGAUGUUCAAGAAAAGUAUUCACAAUUAAGAUGAAAAAUGGUCAUCUUUUUUUUACCAUUUGAAAAACCAUUUAUUGCAACCCCUUUGAGCCUAUUAUGAUUUUUUUCUCUGAAGAACCCUAACCAAGGAUCACCCUCUACACUGGGGGGUAAUUUUUGAAAAAAAUAUCACAAAAAGUCUCAAAAAUGGAAAGAGAAAGAAAAGCAAAAGAAAAAAUAAAUGCCACACAUGAUUUGGGGUAAAAUAAUGAGAAUCACUUAUGUGAGGAAAAAAAAUAGUGAAAUGAUGUGGGGGCAAAAUGCCAUCAAAUGAUCCUUUGGUCUUGAACCUUUUUAAUAUAUGUUUUGAGCCUAUUAUAUCUAUUUCUUUUAUGACCCCUCACCUUGACCUACAUUACAAUCUUGAAAAGUCUAUUUGGAUCAAGUGUGAAUGCUCAACUUGAAUGAUCAUAUGUUGGGCAAAGCCAUGCUCAUGAUGAAAUAAUGGAAUCAUGCUAUAUUGCUCUAAAGUUUGAUGUGUAGAAAGAUAUCAACAAUGGAUGAAAAAAUGAAAAAAAGAAAAGAAGAUGAUGAAAAAAUAAAAAAUGAAACAAAUAAAGAAAAAAAAUGAAAAAAUGAAAAAACUAUUCAAAUUGAAAACCUAAAAAGGUGAUUUGGGUAGAAAAAGGUCUAGGUCAAAUGGUUCACAUGGAUGGAAAAUCAAAGACAUCUAAAAAUCCCUCAAAAACUGGGGUAAAGUUCGUCAAGCUCAAAAUGACUUCAACAGUAAAUGGAAUGAGUUUUUGAAAAAGAAUCCUAGAUUAAUAUUGAGAAUUGUCUGAAUAUUCAUCGUUUGGACAUACCAUUCAUCCCAAUGACAUGUAUCCAAUUUAUUUCAUUUCUCAUUUGUUUUGUACUCAAAUAGAUCUUCAUUGAUUAUCUUUACCAUAAUUCACCUUGUGUUCUUUUAUUGUUACAUCCUUAGAAUAAAUCAAGAAAAUGUAUGAGUGCAUUAUAAUUGUCAAGAAUUGAAAUGAUGAUGAAUGAAUGAAAAUGUGCAUAAAAAAAUCUUGCAUUCCUUUAAAGAGAAAUCUAAGAUGAUGGUGAUAACAAAAUGAAAAAAUGGUAGAAACCUAAAAGAGAUAAUUUGAAAGGACAUAUGAUGUGACCAAAUAGAGAAUAUGAUGAUGGAUUGGACAAUAAAAUGAAAAUGGGGAAAAUCUUGAAAAGUGGUAUAAUCAAGUGAUGAAUAUGGGGAUGUAUUGAUUGAUAUAACCUAUGAGUUAUGGUUAAGUGAUGAAAAUGAUAUGGAGCAAUAGAUGAAACUGGUGCUGAUAAGCUUAUGAAUGAUGACUAAGUGACAGAUGAUGAAAUUUGUUUUGAAAUGGCUAGUAUUGAGAAGCUUAUGAACGAUGACUAAGUGAUAAAACAUAAAAUUUAUUUUGAAAUGAUUAGUGCUGAUAAGCCUGGCAUGUAAGGUAAUAGGUAAAAUUUGUUGGCGCUAAGAAACCUCUUGAUGGUGAUCAAGUAAUGGAAACAAUGAUGAUCAAUUAAUAAAGCUUGUUUCAAAAUGUUGAGAAGCUAAAUAAAGGGAAAAUGUGAGAUGGUAGGGUCUUGAGGAUCAUAUUCCAUAAUUAUUUAAGAUUUCAUGACAUUAUUGACCUUCGCAUUACAUGCAACAUGUUGGCAUCAUUGCUUGAAUAGUACAUGCACACAAUUUGAUGAAUUAAACUUUGUUUGGACAUGCAUGGCAUUAUGAGAAUAUAGGUUACCACAUUUGCAUCAUUAAGAAGGCAUUUACAUCUUUGGUCAUAACAUUCAUUCAAGCAAAUUUUUGAGUCACUUGAAAAAAAAAUCGUGAAUAUUUUGAUGAGAAUUUUUGAGAACUCAAAUGAGAAUCUUUGAGGAGUAAAACCCUAAAGUUCAUCAAAUGUGAAUCUUCGAACUAGAAUGAAAAGUUUUAAACUUUUGGAUGUGAAUCUCCAAAAUACAAAGCUUCAAUUUUUUGGAUAUGAAUCUCUAAAUUUUUAAAUGAGAACAUUUGAACUUAGAUGUGAAACUCUAAGUUUUAUUACUGAACCUUUGAACUCAAAUGAGAAGCUUUGAAUUUUUUGAUGUGAAUCCCAAGCUUGCCAAAUGCAAACCUUUAAACUUUUGGAUGUGAACCUCCAAAAUUCAAAUAAGGAUCUUUAAUGCGAGUCUUGCAAGUUGCAAAUGCAAAUCUUGAGAUCUUGCAAAUUUGAGUGGAAUUGAAAUUUUAAGAAUCAAAUUUCAGUAAAUUCUUACAAAGUUGAAAAGUUCUUACGAAUCUGAACCUCUGAAUGUUGAACUCAAAUUGUGAAUCUUUGAGUUCCCAUUACAAAAUUCCUUCAAUCACAAUCUAUAACUCCUUUGGACAUGAUUGUCAAUGAGCAAUUUAUUUUUUCAAAGUUUCGUUACCUCUGUUUAGAGGAGCAAUUUACUUUCCAAAGUUGUGGUACCUCUGUUUAGAAGAGAAAGUUGUGGUGCCUCUGAUUAGAGGAGCCACUUAUUUUUUUAAAGUCAUAGUUGCCUUUGAUUAGAUGAGCCAUUUAUUUCAGAGGAGCCAUUUAUUUUUCUAAAAUCGUUAAGCCUCUGAUUAGAGGAGCCAUUUAUUUUUUCAAAAUCGUUGAGCCUCUGAUUAGAAGAGCUUUGUUUAUGUUUCUCAAAGUCAUUAAACCUCUACUUAAAGAAGCUUUGAUUAAAAUUUUAACAAACAAAAACAAAAACAAAAACAAAAAAAGUGUCAAGUUGAGUCUUGAAUGGGUGUCUACGUCUUUGCACAAUUCUUGCUUUGCAAAAAAUGUGUAAAGAGGGGCAGCUACAAAUACCCUAUUUAGUCCGAACCCAAGCCCAUUGGGCUUGGUCCAAUAGGGUUUAGGUCUAAGCCCAUUGAACCCGAUUUAAGAUCCAACUAGCAGGCCCAAUUAACUUUUUUUUAUUUUUCUUUGAUUUUUUUAGUUGAUUUAUCUGUUUUAUUAGAUUUAUCAUUAGUUUAACAAGAUUUAGUGAUAAAAAAUAAAAAAUUAUAUCUUUGGUCCUAAAUUUGAGGUUGUAGAGUUUCUAUAGGUUUUAAUAGGAGGUAGGAUGAGUCUUAAAUUUUUGAUAACCCCGUUGAAUAAGGACUUUGAUCUGAUAAAAAAUUCUUCUGAUAUGGUCUUAUAAAUAGCAACAAAGCAACGAAAACAAAAAAGAAGGGAGAAACACAGAAAAUAGAAGCAACAAGCCAAAACCCAAUAAAGAAAAGUGGAACUGGAAAUUGGAAAAAUGUCUCAUCCUUCCAAAGUUUUCAUGGUUUCAGAUAAGCCUAGCAUCGCUCUCUCCAUUGCUUCUAUACUCUCUCAUGGCCAAAUGACAACAAAGAGGGGCAAUACAGAUGUCCAUGAGUUCAACGGGCCUUUUCUUGGCUUUCAUGCUUCUUUCAAAGUGACUUCAGUUAUUGGACAUGUAGUCAACAUAGAUUUUCUAGCUUCUUAUCAAGACUGGAAUGCCACUAAUCUUCUAAACCUAUUUCAAGCACCAGUUAUCAAGAUAGAAUCAAACCCAAAGGCCCAUAUUUCUAAACAUUUAAGUCAAGAAGCUCGUGGUUGUGGUCAUUUGGUAUUAUGGUUGGAUUGUGAUCGUGAAGGAGAAAACAUUUGUUUUGAAGUCAUUGAGUUUACGAGAUUUCAUGUGAAUGAGGUAAAAAAAAAAGGGUUUAUCGUGCUAGGUUUUCUUCUGUGAUCGAGAAAGACAUCUUGAAGGCUAUGGAUAAUCUAGUGGAACCGAACAGACAUGAAGCACUGACUGUGGAUGCUCGGCAAGAGAUAGAUUUGAAAGUUAGUGUUGCAUUUACCCGAUUUCAAACUAGUUAUUUUCAAGGAAAAUAUGGGAAUCUUGACUCCAGGGUUAUCUCGUUGGUUCUUUCAUCUCGUCCCUAGCAUUUUGUAGUUCAUUAUGCAUUUUUCUUUGGGGUUUCCAUGCAUCAUUUGUUUUUAUUGCAUUUAUUUGCAUAAUUAUGAUAUCCUCACCAAGGAUGUGGGAAGUUUAUGCAAUUCUCAUAUGCUUAUACCAGGAGUCUAGGUUAUAUUGUAGUUCUGUUGGCAAUAAUAUUCUACUGACAUCGAAAUUCAUUGUUGCACUAGGUUUGUACCCUUGCUAGUUUGAUAACUUAAUUAACUAUAGAGUCUCUGAGUGGUAAGGUUCGGUAUGUCAUUCCUAUGUUCUAUCUUCUCAUAUCCCCUCCUUAUAUGUUGUAUGGUUAAUUUUUCUUUCAGCUCUCACCCAUUUUUCUUUGACCAUUAAUUAACAAUUGUUGCUUUAAUAUGCUUAAUCAUCAAAAACGUCUAUUUUAAACUCGAGCUUGAUUGAUUUACCAUAUCAUAUGCCAUGCAUGCUGGCAUGUCAUUCUUGGUUGUGUUUUUACCUUUGUUUAUUCACAAUUUUGUUUUCUGGAUAUUGAUCUAGUGAGCUUCAUCUCUAGGUUUCUCUUUCUAACCAACUAUAUGAAAGUUUAGGGCUUUACUUGUCUGUCGACAUAAUUUUAUGCUUUUAGCCUUACCUUUUACUUUUACCCUAGGCAAUGUUGAUUUUUUGCUCUUAAUUCAUUCUCAUUCUUUAGAGUUAUUCUGACUAUUUCAUAAAAAUGAUUUUGUUUAUUUUUAGCUUGGGUGCAACUAUUUAAUAUGAUAAUUAAUUACUUAUUUCAGCUAUGGACCAUGUCAAACCCCUACACUUGGGUUUUGUGAGCAGCGAUAUUUGCAAAUUAAUACUUUUAAGCCUGAAAAGUUUUGGGCAUUACGUCCCUAUAUUAUUCAAAAUGGUUAUGAGCUUCAUCUAGAAUGGAAACGUCAAAAGUUGUUUGACUUAGAUGUUGCAACAAUGUUCCAAAAGUUGUUUGACUUAGAUGAUGGAAUUCUUAAAGUAAUUAAUGUAUCAAAAAAACGAGAAAGCAAAGGUCGACCUUCUGGUCUCAACACAGUGAAUCUUUUAAAGGUUGCUUUAAGUGCAUUAGGCUUUGGACCUCAGACAGCCAUGCAAAUUGCUAAACACUUAUAUACACAAGGUUUCAUAAGCUAUCCACGAACCAAAAGUACAGCAUAUCCUUCAUCGUUUGAUUUCGAAAGCACAUUUAAGGUACUAGAAAACAAUCCACUGUGGAGUGACUAUGUCCAAAGAUUGCUUGCUGAAGGUUAUCAUAAACCAUGCUCAGGAACAGAUGCCGGUGAUCAUCCUCCUAUAACUCCAAUGCGACCAGCAACCAAGGAUAUUCUUGGAAGCCAUGCUUGGAGAUUGUAUCAGUAUGUCUGUCAACAUUUUAUAGGAACUGUGUCUCCUGACUACAAAUACGUGAGCAACAACAAUAGGGGAACAAAAAUAAAAUAGAGAGAUCAGAAAAGAAUCACAGAAAAAAAUCUAAAGAUCAAAAACACGCAAGAAAAUUCGUAGUGAAAUAGAGAAAUUGGCAUAGCUUGUGUUUAGAGCAGCAACAUACAGUAGACCAUCGUGUAAAGUCACCAGCUGGUAGGAAAAAGCAAGGAAAAAAGUGCCCUGACUGCAAGUCUAAGAAAGAGAGAAGCAAACAAGAAAGAGAAAAAACAAACAAUUUAAGGAAAGUUGAAAGUAUCAAUUUUUCUUGAAAAAAUUUUUCAAAUGCUUUAAGGAAAAGUUGAAAGUAUCAAUUUUUCUUAAAAAUAAGUUUUCAAAAAGGGUUUUUUUUUUAGGAAAAGUUGAAAGUAUCAAUUUUCUUUGAAAUUAAAGUUUCUAACAAAUAUUUUUGAUAGAAAGUUGAAAGUAUCAAUUUUUCUCGAAAUUAAAGUUUUAAAAAAAUAUUUUUGAGGAAAAGUUGAAAGUAUCAAUUUUCUUUACACAAAAGCAAUCAUUUUUUCUCUUUCGUUUUUAUUUUCUUGAAUUUUCUUUAAUGUUAAAUAAUCCGACGAUGGAGCCUCUGCAAGUGAAACAAUAGUUUUCUUGCAUACUCUUGAGAUAAGGGGAUUUUCUCAAUUUUUUGCUAAAAGUAUUAGAGUCAAUUGAGAAUAAUUUUUAAUAACUAAUUACUUGGUAAAUAUUUAAGGCUUAUUGGAUAACACAAAAUUAAGUUGGUACAAUCUUUUGAUGGGCAUUGUGAGGGUGCUAUAACCUUCCUCACACGUAACCGAACUCCUGAACCCUAUUCUGGUUAGUAGACCCGAACCUAUUCUCUUAGGGACCCUUAAACUUAGGUGUUCCCUGAAAAGAUAGAUUCCUUAGAUGAUCAAUCGUACCUAGAUAAAAAAGAUUGGUGACGACUCCUUCAAGUUAAUGUCUAGUGAUGAAUCUUCGGAUCUAGACGUUAUGACAUAAUAUACUAAAAAAGAUUUAAGAUAAUUCUAAACUUAUUGGAAUGUAAGAGCAACCAUUAAAAAAUAUUAUUGUAACAUAAAUAGUUAUGUUAGCAACAUAAAAUUUUAAUUAAUUAUUGUUCAUGUAAAUAUAUAAGAAAAACAUCUAACAAAUAAUAAUAAUAAAUUUUGCUAACUUAAACAUGUGAAAAAAAAACGUAAAAUUUAUAUCAUUGAACAUAAAAUGUGUAAAAAGUGUUUUAACUCAACAAAGAAAAAGUUAUAACAAUUUUAAACGUAACAAAACGUAAAAAUAACUCUAAAAAAAUAUUUUUGUAACGUAAAUAAUGAAAUCAGUAAUGUAAUAUUACAUUAUAAUUAAUUAUUAUUUUUGUAAAUAUAUAAGAAAAAUAGGUAAUAAAUAAUCAAAAAAAUUUUAAACUAAACAAAAGGGAGGUACAAUAAAAUUUCUCUCAUAUUUGAAAGCCACUAUUAUACCAUUUUUAGUCUUAAAAAUUUAUUAACAUAAAUAUUUGUGUAGUAAUUUUUUCACUGCAUAGUAAAAAUAUUUAUAUAAUAGUAAAAACUAUCACAUCUUGAUAAAGUGACAUUUUAAACAUGUUGAAUUUUUUAUAAAAAGAUACCAAAAUUUGCAAUUAAAGUAUCUAUGAAAAAAUUCAUACAAAUAAAACAAUACAAUGGUAACUUACAUUUUUAUGAAUUAUGUUAAAAGAUUUUUAAGACUAGAAAGAAAAUCAUAAAAAUAAAAUCGUAAAAUAUAUAAGAAAAAUAACUAAAAAAUAAUUUUAAAAUUAAAAAAGACAACAUAAAAUAAUUGAUAUUUUAAAAUUAAAAAUAUUAUUAAGAUGAAUACUAAAAUUUGUAUUAAUUAUUGUUGUAGUAUUGUUAUUUGUUAAUAAUGAAGAAAUAACAAAAUAUUAUUUAUUAAAACAAUAUAUGACAUAACUAUAGUUGAAUUUUUAUUUUAAUGUUAUUGUUUAUAGAUAAAAAUAAGUAUAAAAUAUGUAAUUUAUAUUUUUUAUUGGUUAGAAAAAUAAAAUAAAUAAAAUUAUCUGUAUAUUUUUAGUUGAUCUAUUAACUUGUUUUACUAUUUUCACUUUUUUUUUUAAAUUUUUGUAAUAUUUUCAAUUUCUCACUAGAUAUCAUGAUAUCACAAGACUUUAUAAUAAGGUUGAUAAAUUGUGACCUUAUUAUGAUAAACUCAUCUCUCAAUUUUAUAUUGUUCAAAUACUAUUUUGAAGGCUAUCAAUUUUUUUGCCAUUUGUCAUCUUUUCAUUGGCACAAAAAAGAAAGAUAAAAUCAUCUUUUUAGCAUUUAGACACUUGUCUUACGUCUUUUAACAUUAUUGUUUUAAAUUUAAAAAAAAAAAAACUAAAAAUUCAAGGAGAGAAGAAGUUUUUAGAUUUGGAGGAAUAAGAGAACAGACAAGCGAAAUGAAGAAAGAAUGAGGAAGCUUUCUAGAGAGUUCAAAAAACAAAAGCUAUUUCUUUUUUGCCCAAAGCUGUUUCUUUUUGGGGACUUUUAUAAUAAGAAGUUUUUUUAAUCUUGUAAUAAGGUUAGCAGAUAAUGAUCAUUAGAUUUAUAUAAUUAAAUAUCAAAUAUUGAUUAAAUUUUAAAGCUUCGCAAGUAAUGAGAUUGCAAAACAAAAUUUAUAGAAUCAUAUACAUAAUUCAAAUAAUUUUCACUUUAUGUAAUAGUUUUUAUUUUUCACUUUAUUACAUGUUUAUGAAAUUACUUCAAAAUAAAAAUAAAAUAAUUAAAAACAUUCCUUUUAAAAAACUUUUAAUAUAAUGGCAUUUUCGAAAUUAGCUAAAAAAUAUUAUAAAAAAUAAUUCAGGAAAAAAAAAUAUUAACAAAAAAAUUCUUUCCAAGAAAAAAAUUAACUUAAAAGAAGUUAUAUUUUAAAUAAAAAUAAAAAAAAUUAUUAACAUAAUCAAAUGAUAGAAAUAAUAAAAUUUAUAUCAAUUUAUUUAAAAUGGGAUACAAGUGUCUUAACACGUUAAAAAAUGAAUUAUAAAAAUUUUAAAUAUAAUGAAUAUAAGAAGAAGCGUUAGAAGAAUUAUUUUAAUGUAAAUAAUUAAGUUAACAAUAUAAAUUUAAAUUAAUUAUUUUCUUUAAAUAUAUAAGAAAAUAGUUAAAAAGACGUCUACUGAUAAAAAUUAAUAUAAACAAAAUGAUAUUUUUGAAAAAAAUUAAUAAAAAAUUUAUUAACAUUAAGCAUGUGAGAGAAAUGGUAAAAUUUAUAUUAUUUAGUAUAAAAUAUAUUAAAAGUAUCCUAACACCUAAGAAAGAAUUAUAAUAAUUCUAAAUUUAAUGAAAUGUAAGAACAACUGUAAAAAAAAUUAUUGAAAUAUAAAUAACAAAGAUAGCAACAUAAAAUUUUAAUUAAUUAUUAUUUCUAUAAAUACAUAAAAAAAUAUAAUAAAUAAAAAAAUAUAGAUAACAUGAAUAGAUAAAAGAAAACAAAACAUUUAUAUCAUUUGAUGUAAAAUAGGUAAGAAGAGUUAUAACACACUAAAAAAAUUAUGACAAUUUUAAACAUAUCGAAAAAUAAGAACAAAUAUAAAAAUAUAUUAUUAUAAUGUAAAUAAUUAUGAUGGUAAUGUAAAAUUUUAAUUAAUUAUUAUUUUUGUAAUAUAAAGAAACAGUUAUAAAUUAAAAAUAAAUUGGUAAUGUAAAAAAAUGUGAAAAACAUAAAAUUAAUAUCAUUUAGUGUAAAAUUGGUAAAAAAUGUUGUAACACAUUAAGAAAGAGUUAUGAUAAUUUUAAACAUAAAAAAAAGUAAGAACAAUUGUAAAAAAUUAUUGUAACAUAAAUAAUUAUGUUGGCAACAUAAAAUUUUAACUAAUUAUUAUUUUUUAAAUAUAUAAAAAAUAGCUAAAAAUUGAAAAACUAAUAAGUUACGUAAAAUGAGUAUCAUUUGGUGUAAAAUCGAAAAAAGUGUCAUAGCACACUAAAAAAGAGUUAUUACAAUUCUAAACAUAAUUAAAGAUAACAAUAAUCAUAAAAACAAAUUAUUGUAAUGUAAAUAAUUAAGUUGCUAACAUAAAAUUUUAAUAAAUUAUUUUUAUAACAUAGAAGAAAACUAGCUAAAAAUUAAAAAAUAUAUAUAUUAGUAACGUAAACAAGCGAGAAGAAAUGUAAAAUUAGUAUUAUAUAGCGUAAAAUAUUAUUGUAAUGUAAGGAAUAAUAUUGACAACAUAAACUUUUAAUUAAUUAUUGUUUUGUAAAUAUUUAAGGAAAAUGGAUAUAAAUUAAAAAAUAAAUUUGAUAAACUAAACAAGUGGAUAACAAACAUAAAAUUAAAAUCGUUUGACGUAAAAUAGGUAAGAAGUGUCAUAAUAUAUUAAGAAACAAUUAUAACAAUUCUAAAUGUAAUGGAAAAUAAAAACAAUUGUAAGAAUAUAUUAUUGUAAAGUAAAUAAUUAUAUUGAUAACGUAAAAUUUUAAUUAAUUAUUGUUCCUAUAAAUAUAUAUAAGAAAAAUAGUUAAAAAUUAAAAAAUAAAUUGAUAAUGUAAACAAGUAAGAAACAUAAAAUUAGUAUCAUUUGGUGUAAAAUGAGUAAUAAGUGUCGUAAAAUACUAAGAAAGAGCUACACAAUUUUAAACAUAAUGGAAAGUAAAAGCAAUCAUAAAAAUAUAUAUUAUUAUAUUAUAAAUAAUUAUAAUGGCAAUGUAAAAUUUUAAUUAAUUAUUAUUUUUGUAAAUAUAUAAGAGGAAGAUAGAUAAAAAUUAAAAAAUAAAUUGGUAAUAUAAACAAGUGAGAAGAAAUAUAAAUUUAGUUUUAUUUGACGUAAUAUGGAUAAGAAGUGAUAUAACACAUUAAGAAAGAGUUAUGAUAAUUUUAAAUGAAAUGGAAGAUAAGAACAACCAUAAAAAUAUAUUAUUGUAAGAUAAAUAAUUAUGUUGGCGAUGUAAAAUUUUAAUUAAUUAUUAUUUUUAAAUAUAUAAGGAAAAUAAUUAAAAAUUGAAAAACAAAUAGAAAACAUAAAAAAGUGAGAAAAAGCGUAAAAAUAGAAUAAUUUGACAUAAAAUGAGUAAAAAGUGUUAUAACAUACUAAGAAAAAGUAAGGACAAUUAUAAACAUAAUUAAAGGUAAGAACAAUCAUAAAAAAGAAAUUAUUAUAACAUAAAUAAUUAACUUGUCAACAUAAAAUUUUAAUUACUUAUUUUUUUGUAAAUAUAUAUAAAAAAAGCUAAAAAUUAAAAAACAAACUGAUAAUGUAAACAAUAAAGAAAAAUGUAAAAUGGGUACACUAUAGGAGAACAAGUAUUUAGUGGUGUUUUUUUUUUUUUUUCACAUUUAGCAACAUUUAUAAGCAGCUUUAAAAAAUUUGUGACAUUUUUGGCUGAGAGCAUUAGCUGUAUUUGCAUUGGAAAAAAUAGUUGUGUUUUAAGAAAAAAUGUCGCUAACUUAGUGGAAUUUAUUAUAAAAAAUGCCAUUAAAUUUAAUGCAGUUUGUGUUUAAAAAUGACAUUAAAUUUAGUAAUAUUUUUAUGAUACAAAUGCCACUAAAUUCAAUAAUUUAUUGAUCCGUUUGACACAUUACUAUGUUUUCAUUGCAGCUUCAAAAGAUUUACUUACCCUUUUUUUUUACAUUUUUUUUACAAUAUAUGAAGUUAUAAAGGUUCUAUUUUCUAUAAACUACUUUUAUGUUUACUGCUUCCCUAAAAGCUAUGCUUCAUUGACUUUUAGUAUUGAUUUUUCUCAUUCUUUAAAAUUAUUAUCCUUAUUAUUUUUUUACUUUGGCUUUUAUAAUAUAUGAAGUUAUAAAGUCCAACCGAACAUCAAUGGAUAGGGGCAUGGAAAUGCAUGAAAGACAUAAGCACAUAGCAAGCAAGGAUAAUAAUAUUGCAUUGAACUUCCAACUGCAUUGAUAAAUGAUUGAGACAAUCUCACUUGGAUUAAACCAAUUAGGAUGAGGAUAAUAAGGUUGGUGAACAAAAUGGGCCCAAGAUAGUUGAAGUCUUUGCCUUUCUUAGAUGCCUAAAAAGUGUAGCCAGUAAAAGAUGCAGCAACAACUACUAUCAAAAUUAGUGCUUUAAGCACAGUUCUUCUUGAAAUCAUACAAAUGUGGAUAAUUAGCAUAAUUCUAGAUUUAUAACAAGACCUAGGAUUGUUGAGAGCAUGCAUCAAUUAAGAUACUAACCAUUAGUAUUAGCACAGCUCAUGCCAACUGUAAGACUUAGUGAUUGAGUGAAAAGGCCAAGGAUAACCAAGUUCAUAGGGUGCUUUUUGUAAUUGACGUGCAAGGGCUACAACACUACAUAUAUUAAGUUUUAUGAUUAAGAUAACGCACAGUAACAUGGCACAAGAAAUGGAACACGACUCUAUAGGUUCUUAAGUAAAUGCUUGGGAAAAAAAAAGGCCUUUAUGACUCAAGCUAGUAAAUUAUAAAUUUAAGCCAUUAUAAGACAUCGACCAGCUCUUAAUGUCUAAGUUUACAAAAUUAUAAGACAUGAACACUAAUAACUUCCAAAUAUUUAAAAUGCAUUACAAUCAACCAAAGAGAAAGAUAAAUUGGUAAAAGUUACAUGACAAUUCAAAAGGUACAAAAAAGAACAUAUGAAGGUCAUAGUACUUUAAAGGAGUAAGUUAUCUUUUAGUUCAAUUUUUUAUUGUUUGAUGGAUUCCAUUAUUUUUCAAGUAUAAGCUCAAUUUUUCUUUUCAUAGUUUCAGAGAAACCAUUCCCUCCAAUAUAGCCAAUAAAGGCAUACAUCAUGCCUACCUAACUUUGGCCUACUUUAUGAAAACUAAGUUAAACCUUAGAAAUUUUGCUCAAGAAAAUUAUAACAAUGACUUGAUUACCAAGCUUUAAGCCAGUCUCUCUGUCUCACAUAAAAAAAAUGAGCAAAGGAAGAGAGUUGAAGACUUGGCAGCCAAGCAAGAAAAAUGUAGGUCUAGAAGGCUUCCGCUGAGUUUGUAAAGAAACAUUAUGUGCACAAACUUAAUAAGGUGUAGGUUGAGAUUACCAAGUUGAGGUCUGAGUUGAAGUCAAAUUUUGUUAGGAGAAUGUCUUUGGUGCCUUUGAGCUAUGCAAGGAUGGGGAACUGUUUAAGUAUGCAAGUAUAAACCUUUACCUAUCAAACAUCAUAUUGGAUAACCUUAAGAUCAAAUCUCUCAUCUAGUUUAAAAGAAAAAAAAAAGAUGAUAAGAAUGAGGAUGCGAAUAUAGACACCAAACUCAAUGUCAUUCUUGGGCUUGAAGUUAAGGAAAAAUCUACUACUGCUACUGAAAAAGAGGGAGACUGAAGAGAAUGGAAGAUUUUUUUAAUUUUUGUUUAUCUUUUAUCAAAUAUGAGGUUGAGUUUUGUAAGGACCUAUGUUAUAUCAUUCUAUAAAUUUUUAUCAGAUCAUUCUUUGUAAUCAUAAUUACUUGACUAAAAUUUUGUCAAUAAAAUGAAUUAUAAAUUUUUGUCAAAUUAGGUGAGCUUGAUCAAAUAUAACUUAACUACUCAUUAAAUUAACUUAAGGAUCUAAAUUAACACAAGUCCUAACUCGAUUCACUUUAGCUAUUAAUCUUUUCAAAACUAGUUGUAAGGACUUAGAUUAGACAAUUUGUUAACUCAACUAUUGGUGGCAUGUUGCCUUAGAUUUUAUUUUUCAAGUAUAAGUUUGGCAAUUACCUGAGCUUUGGAAUUUUAUAAUGAAUAUAGUCAAAGUGUAAGUUUUAUUCAAUCAAACUUUGAAAAGUUACAAAGUGUGAGCUCGACUUUAAAUCUUUUUACUAGUAAUAGAUUUUAAGAUUGCCUGUAUUUCAUAUCCUCGAAAUGAGAUUACCAUUCAUAUCUUGCAACCUAUAAGUUACAUCAUAAAUGACCUCAUUGACAACAUAAAGACCAUCCAAGUUCGAGGCUAAAUUUUUACCUUAUUAUCGACUCCUAAAGCUUUCACCUAUAUUUGUAUUAGGUCACUCAUUUUUAUAUUUUUACUCUGGACCUUUUUAUUGUAAAAACUGGCUACUUUUUGUUGGUAGGUAGCUAUUUUGGUCAGAGCUGCAUUUCUCUGCUCUUCUACUAAAUCAAGAUUGGCUCUAAAGGCAUCUUCGUUCCCCUCUUCAGAUUUAAGCUUAACUUAAAGGCUUGAGAUUUCAAUCUUUACAUAUACCAUGACCUUUGUUUCAAAUACUAGAUUAAAGGGAAUUUCUCUUAUGAGAACUUUUGUGGUCAUCUUUAAAGCCUACAGAACUUUAGGGAGCUCAUUGGUCCAUUUGCCCUUAACUUCAUCUAGUCUCUUUUUCAAAACUCCAAGUAUUGUCUUGUCAACUACCUCAACUUGACCAUUACAUUAGAAAUGAGUGAUCGAUGUGAACCUUAGGUUAAUGUGAAAAUUAGAGCACCAUUUUUUAAACUUUAAGUUUUUAAACUAUUUGUCAUUGUCUAUUAUUAUACAACCAAAAUAGAUCAAAUCUGUAGAUUAUAUUCUUUCAUAUCAACUUUUUAACUUAAGCUUUUGUUAUUGUAGUUAGGGUUUCGACUUCGAGCCAUUUUGUGAAGUAGUCUACUACUACUAUUACAAAUCUUCUCUACCUUGUGAUUAGGGUGACAGAUCCAAGAACAUUUAUUUUUCAUUGCAUAAAAGGCUUGUUGACAAUAGAGGUUAGUUUGGUUGAUGAAAGAUGUUGUAUAUGGGCAAAUAUCUGGCAUUUAUCACAUUUUUUUACUAGGUUGAUUACAUCAUUUUUUAUAGUUGGCUAGUAGUAGCCCUAAGUACCUUAUAGGUAGUGGCUAAAGUCUGAAGUGAUUACCAUAAAUUUUUUUAUGUAUUUUUCUAAGUGCAUAGUUUACCUCUUCAUCAUCUAUAUAUCUUAGGCAAGGCAAACUAAAAUAUCUCCAAUACAAUUUUUCAUUUAUCAUUGUGUAUCAAAGAGCUUUUCUCAUCAAAGCUUUAGCUCAAGCUUUAUCUUUGAGUAGUUUUCUCACUGUCAAGAAUGCUUUGAUCGAGGUCAACAUGAUUUUUUCUCUUCAAUCUACUCAACCAGUUUCUUUGCUCUUUUGCCAGAAUGUGAGUUAAACACUCUAUUGUUAUUCUCGACACUUACGUAGACAAUGAAUCAGCCAGUACGCUUUCUAACCUUAGCAUUUUUUUUUUUUACUUUGACCUUAAAGAAUAUGGCUAGAAUAGUUUGUGCUUCAUAUAAGUACUUCUUUAUUCCUUCUUUUUUACUCUAAAUUUUUCAUUUAUUUGGUUCACCACCAGUUGAGAGUCAUUGUUUAUAAUGAUGUUCUUCACAUUCAACUUAAUCAUAAGUUUUAGGCUAGCAAUUAGGGUUUCAUACUCGACCUCAUUGUUGAAAGCUUUAAAUCCAAAUCUUAGGGCAUACCGAAGUUGUAGGUUUUCUAGACUAAUCAUAAUUAGACUGACUCCACUAGUGACUGAUCUAUUAAUAAAAAGUUUCCACAUUUCUUUUUUCCUGAUCUCUUUAGCCUUUUCGGGUUGUUCGUCGAUCCUAGUUAAGGUGCAUUCCAUAACAAAAUCUAUUGGCACCUAAAAUUUUAAAAUCAACUUAGGGAGCAUGUGCAGGUCAUAUUUAUUGAGUUCCACUAUCCAUUUAAUUAGCUUUUUUUAUAGUUCUAAUUUUUGCAAAUUUGCUUGAGUGGUUAGUCAAUUAACACAUGAAUUGUAUAAGCUUAAAAUUAUGGCUUAAGUUUUCUAGCCAAUGUCGUUACUAUAUAGGAUAAUUUUUUUUUAUCUUGGUAUAGUUUAUCUCCAAUCUUGUUAGCACUCUGCUCAUAAAGUACAUUAGCUUUUAUCUUCCUUUUUUUCUUUUUGACUAAUACCAAGCUAAUAGCUUAGUCGAUUACAACCAAGAAUAAAUACAAUAUUUCAUCGAGUCUCAACUUAAACAAAAUUAGAGGGGAAAAAAGAAACUCUUUGAGCUCUUUAAAUGCUUUAUAAAAUUGAGGGCUCCAUCUAAAGUCCAAGAUAUUCCUUAAGAUUUUAAGAAAUGGUAGGCAACGUUUUGCUAACCCGAAUAUAAAUUUGCUUAAGGCAACUAUUCUUCCAAUUAGUCUUUGACCUUUAUUAUUGAGGUUGGUGCUUUCAUGUUAAGGAUAGCCUGAAUCAUUUUUGGAUUUGCCUCUAUACCUUUUCUAUUAAUUAUAAAAUCGAGAAACUUGUCUAACAUGACACCAAAAGCGCGUUUGCUCAAGUUAAGUCUCAUGUUGUAUUUUUUUCAGGGUAUUAAAGGUCUCUUCUAAGUCUUUUCAGGUGCUUGUCUAGGCUCUUACUCUUUACUAUAAUAUCAUCUACAUACACCUCUUUAUUUUUACUGAAUUAAUUUUUGAAGACCUUAUCAACUAACCUUUAGUAGGUCAUUUUUAUGUUUUUUAGGCCAAAGGGCAUGACCUUAUAAUAGUAUAAACCUUUUUUCUAUUAUGGAGGUUAUUUUUCCAUGCUUUCUUUUAGUAUUUUAAUUUGAUUAUAACCUGAGUAGGCAUCCAUAAAACUAAGUAGGGUAUGCUCAGCAUUGUCAUCAACCAGCCAAUCUAUGCUAAAGAAAGGAAAGCUAUCUUUUAGACAAGCUUUAUUGAAGUCAAUAAAGUUGAUGCACAUUCUUUAUUUUUCACUAGGCUUUUUUACCAUGACUAUGUUGGCUAUCCAAUCGAGGUAGUAUACUUCCUUGAUUAAGUUUUCUUGUAGUAGUUUACUAACUAUUCCUCGAUCACCUUUUACCUCUUAGGGGCGAAGGUCCUCUUCUUUUGUCGAACUGACUUUAUAUUUAAGUUAAUGUGUAAUUUAUGUACCAUUACCUUGAUAUCAAUCCCUAGCAUUCUGAUAGGGUUAAUGUAAAUAAGUUGAUAUUUUUUUUUAGUAGUUGAAUUAGUUUCUCCUUAUGGUCUAGCUUGACCCUAAUUUGCAUAUAUUUUUCAAGAUUAUUCUCCUAAAAUGGCACAAACAUAAGUACCUCCAAAAAUUCUAGUUUAUUGUCAUCGACCUCAAGUCUCUGAUCAAUUAUUUAUUUUUGUUCAGUUAGAUCAGGACUAUUUUCUACAAGAAGAAUAGAUAUUGACAUGGUAGUUAGUUUUUAUUAUUAAUAUAGUGAUUUGUAGAAAAAAGUAAAAUUGAAUCAAAAUGUAGAUUUGUAUUUCAAAUUUUCUUUUGGCCAACUUAAUAGCUUGAUUCUAUUGACAAAUGUGUGUGUGUUGACUUAAAAGCUAGGCUCUAUAUAGCUGUUUAAAAAUUACAAAAGUAGCUUGUACAAGUGUGGAGUUUAAAAGCUUAGAAUGGCUUAAAAGCGCACUUCUUUUUAGUUAGUUUCUUGUUGCUUUUUACCAAGGUCAUUUUACUUUACUUCUUUAGCUUCCCCAAUAUUUACAUUAGUCUAUCUUUUUUGGCUCUUCUUCUCUGUCAAAUUAUCAAUCUGCUUUCUAGUCCCACCUUUCAUUAUUGUAACGUAGAAUUGUCACGUUAUAGACUGAUCUCUUUUGACCUCUCCAAUCCUAAUCAAUGUCAAGAACUUAAUCUUUAAAUGAGAAGCUAAGUCAAUAGCCGAAUAAUGGACUAGCUAGAUAGCCUAGUAUCAUGUUGAAGGCUGAAGACACAUCUGGCACCAUAAACUCAAUAACCGAAGUCAUGCUCUUCGGCUCAUUGCCUAGUUUGAUCAACAACUUGAUCGUUCCUUUUAUUGACACAUGUUCAUUCUAUAAGCCAAUCAAUGUGGUAAUAAAUGACUUCAACAUCUCUUUUCUAAUUUUCAUUUUUAGCAUUGUGGCAUAGUACAAGAUGUCGAUCAAGCUUUCACUAUCAAAUAAAAUCUUUCUUACCACAUAACUAUAUACAAUAGUAGUGACUACAUGGUAUCAUUAUGUGAGAAUUAAAUGUUUUCUAUGUCUUCCAAAGUAACGAAGAUCGAUCCAUCUUUACAGUCUUUUUUUUCUUAGUUAAAAACUUUAUAGCCAUGAUUAUUCCUUAAUUCAACUUUUUCUUGGUUAAUGUAGACCCUAUAGCAAUAGGCCUAUUAUUUACUACUCGACCUCCCUCAUUUUCUUCGUUUCUCUAGUUUUUAUCACCUCGAUUUUUGUAUAGUCUAUCCCCUAAUUUCUUACUAACUCUUCUUUGUGAUUCUUUCUUCUAUGCCUGUCUUGACCCUGUUUUCAUCAAUCCAUAAAUCUUUCCAACUGACCUUUCUUAAUCAAACUUUCUAUCUUAUUCUUAAAGUCAACAUAAUCUUUUGUAUUGUGGUCAAUAUCUUGGUGAAAUAUGCAUUUUUUGGUUAGGUUCUUCUUUGUGUUCUACCUCAAUGAUUUCAACCUUUUAAGCUUUAGGUUUCUUUUUAUUUAUAUCAGAAUCCUAUCUCGGGAGGCAUUUAGUAUAGUGUAAUUCUUUUCGCUACUUGAGCUAUUAACCCUGUGUCGUCUCCCUCUUAAGGGAAGAUUAUAAAAUUUUUUACCUUUUUCUAGUUGAUAAGGUGAAUGAACCUUUUUCACUUUGACCGCUAAAGAGGGAGGAUGAGCCUCUCUCACCUUGAUUUUUUUUAUUAUAACUUACCUUUUAUGUAUUUUUAAACCACUAGUAGGACAUCAACUAGCAUCUUUAAUGGCUCUAAAGAAAAGGAAAGCAUAAAGUGGUACUCUUUAUCACUGAGUCAUUUAUCAUAGUAGCGACAGCAGUCGUUUCCUCUAAAUCUUUCACUUGUAGAGCUUCUAUGUUAAAACGAGUAACAUAGGCUUUUAAAGACUCAUUUUUGCCUUGAUGGAUUAAUAUCAAGCUUAAAAUAGUUUUCUUAGUUCUUUUAUUGCUUAUGAAUUGAGAGAGAAAAGAGUGGCUAAGAUCUUUGAAUGUAGUGAUCGACCUCGAUUUGAAAAUGCAAUAUAAAGAUCGAGCUGCCCCUUUAAGGGUUGUAGCCAAUUUUUUACACAUCAUGGCCUUAUCUGUACAUUACAUCAUCAUAUUAGUUUUAUAAAGUUUUAAAUUAUCAAAGGGAUCAAAGAUACAUCGUAGGUUUCCAAGAUCAGUGUUUUGAAUCCCUUUAAGGCUCAUUUUUAGCUCAUUUUUCAUAGUAUGCAUUCUAGCCUCCAAAUUUUUAUUCAACUAGGGCUCUUAGUCGAUCUAUUUAGAUUUUUGUGUGGUUACAUGUGUGGAGUUAUGGAUGGGAUAAUGGUAAUAACUGGCUAGAAUAGCAUGUUUCUCCUUCCUAAAGGCUGAAAAGGCUACAACUUUCUCAUAACUCGAUUUUCUUUCUACUGAUUCUCUACUAAUGGUGACCAAGUCGAGUACUUUUGAGGCUAGGGGUGGCAUUAUACUUUGGACUAUUUUUUUUUAAGGCUUAGAUUUGUUCAGUCAAGGUUUGGAAUUGUUCCAUGGUCAAUCAUACUUAUACCAGCACAAGUGGUCUAUAGGUUUGUUUUUAUAGGUUUUGAUCCUAGUUAGGACAAUUGGUUAUUCUUUCUUAUUGGCUCUCUUUUUAGAUGGUAUAGUAUUUAGCUCAAUCAAAGAGUUUUUCCCUACUUGGUACGCCAAAUGUUGGAGCCAAGCUUUGAGCUAAAGGUUAAGACUCUAAAAUCACAAAAGAGAAAAAAAUUGGUUAAAAGCAAAGGCAGGGGGAGCUUCCUAUGUUUGCACCCCCAUGCUCAAGUCAAAGUUUGAAACAAGGGAGGUCGAAAGGAGAGAAAAAUAUGAAAGUAAAAAAAAGUUAGCAUCAAUAGAUAAUAUUUGGAUAGCUUUAUUUAUAGGUAAAAGGUGAAGGGUUUAUGGGGUAGGAUAGUGAUAUAGUCGAGCUAACAUGGCACUGUACAUGUUAGGUCGUCUUAAAAGUAAAAAAUAUCACUUAUUGUUAGUUGACAUUCUUUAAUGAGAGAAAAGACUAAUUUACCCUCUUGACCUAAAAAUACCCCAAAGAUACUAUUUUAUUAUUUACAAAAUAAUUCUCAAUCAAAUAGUUGUUUGGUUUUAAAACCACAAACUGACAAACACUCACUCAAAAAUACUAACUGUAAUGUGGACUAUAACAGGGCAAGUUACCAUAAGGGUAGGAAAUAGUAGUGAAUAGAUGUUCAAAAGGCUCUAAUCAAGGGCUUAAGGAGUUCAAAAAUGAGGUUUCACUUACAUCAAGGCUUCAGCAUGUGAAUCUAGUUCAAGUUCUAGAAUUUGUAUUAAAAAGGAAGAAAAAAAUAUUGAUUUAUGAGUUCAUGAUUACCAAACAAAAACUUGGAUUUCUACCUCUAUGGUAAGCAAUACUUAAUUUUUUCUACCUAGUAUGAUUGUUAAGUACAUUUUUAUGGCAUGAUUUUCCAUAUUAAUGGUUAGAUUAACUUAUCCUAGACUUUUUAAACAAAAAAGACAAAAAUUGUUCAUGACUUUAUUUGAUGCAAAUCCACUUAAAAGGCAUUUGUUAGACUGGAGAAUAUGUGUUUUGAUAAUUAAAAAUGUUACUCAAAGGCUUCUUUUGUCUCCAAGAAUACUCAAAUUUCACAAUAAUUCAUCACAAUAUAAAGGCAAGCAACAUUUUGUUAGAUGAUGAUAUGAACCCCAAAAAUAUCGAAUUUUGGUAUGACCAAUAUUUUCAAAAAAGAUGAACUUGAAGCAAAUACCAAUAAAAUUGUUAGGACAUAGUUGUUGGGCCUGAAACAAUAAACACACCAACAUAAAAGUAAUAUAUCGCAAUAAAUCCACAGUAAUAGAUAACAAUCAACAAUCAACAAUACAGAAAAAAUAAAGCACACCAAAAUUUACGUGAAAAAUUUUUUAGUGUAGAGGAAAAAAUCUCGGACCACUAGAAAAAUCUCCAUUAUCAAAUAAUGAAUAUACAAAGUUCUUCUCUAACUGAAACUAAAGCUAAUUAACAACUAGAAAGACAAUUGAAGAAAUUUCACUAAAUAAGUGACUUAACAAAUACACUAUGGAUUUGUUUCUAGAGAGUAUCAAACCUAAUCUUCACUGUUCAGAAUGUAAAAUUCUGAAUCAUAAACCUGCUAACAAAAUUUCAGUUCAAUCAGAUCAUAGAUCGACUUCCGUUCAACUAACUCUCAUUUCUCCAUUUUCUCUCUAUUUUUCUUACUUCUUUUUCCCCCUUUCUUUUAUUGGUUUGUGGCACUACCUUGUUUUUCACCUUAAAACAAUCCCAUCUCUUUUUAUUAAGUAGCUAGAGCUUUGUGUAAAAGGAAAGACCAAUGUCUAUGAUCUUUGACUGGUCUAAACCCAAUUACAUGGGACUGAACCCUACUUUCCUAAACAUAGUAAGUGAACCAGGUGCUCUCAAAUAAUACAUAUAAAAUCCUUUUCCUUUCUUUUGCAUUGCAUGAUUCGUAUUAGUUUUAUUAAUUAAUUCAUUCAGUGCAGUGGCUAUGUUCCUCCAAAAUAUGUUAAGAAAGGAAUGUAACCUAUGAAGUGUGAUGUUUAUAGAUUUAGAAUUCUACUUCUGCAAAUUAUAAGUGGCAAGAGGAAUUCCAGUCUCUAUGGACGCAAUGAAAACUUGAAUCUUCUUGAAUAAGUAACUUUGGCACAAGCCUUUUUCAUUUUUGUCGUACAAAUAUGUGAAAAUGUAUGAUAUUGAACAAUUCCAGGCAUACGAUUGUGUAAAUAAUGUCAAGGGGCAGAGUUUUUUGAUGCAUCACUGGAUGAUUCAUGUUAGUCGUGUAAGCUCAUUAGAUGUAUGCAAUUAGCACUGCUAUGCAUGUAGGAAAUUCCUGGAGAUAGACCAUCAAUCAAUGGUGGAAGUUUUUACAAUUGCUAAGAAUGAAAGUACUGUUGCAAUCUCUACCACUAAAAAGCAUGCCUUUUCAAUUACAAGAGACGAAAAGGAGGAAAAUAAAGACAUUGAUAGGAAGAAAGUUUUUUCGGUCAAUGAUGCAACAAUAACCCAAGUAGUACCUCGAUGACUGACAGUUUAUGCUUUUGGGAAACAUUUAUGUAAAAAGAAUUAUGGUUAACCAAUCUUUAAUCAUGCAAAUAUAGAUAUUAAAGAUUGGAGCAAAUUGUUGAAUCUGAUAGCUUUAUUGGAAAAUUUCCUCGCUGGGAUCGAUCCCACCAUAAGGAUUGAAUUUCAAGGAAAAAGGAAACUGAUUACAAGCUGAAGUUGGAUAGCUGCAUGAUUAAUCAUAUUCAUUGGGAUGACUAUUUUCGGAGACUACAUGAGGGUAACUAUGAUUGGGACAAUUUAGGCUGCCAGGAUAUGGGCAUCUAGUGGGAACACUGGCAAGCAGAAUAGGCCUAGUUUCAAAUAGGGCUCCUUAAAGUUUAAAGAACAAAUUUCAAGAGAUGUGGACAUUUUAUUUAAUAAUUUUUUACCGCAAUAUUUAAUUAUCGUUGAAUAUGUCUUGCCAUGGAACCUAAACCAAUAAAUUAACUAGAAUGAUCGUCUAAUGAAUUACAACACAUGCUAUAAGCCAUUGGUGUCCUGAAGUUGAUAAACUUCAAAGGAAUUUGGACCCAAGGAUGCAUUUUACGUAUACGAUAGGUGUGUUAUGAUAAUCAAUUUGAAGCAUAAAAGUUAAAAUUAGGCAAAUUAUCUCUGGCUGCAUAAAGAAGGCUGCCGCUUUGCCUCAUUAGUCCACUCUUAAGAUAUUGUGUCAAAUAAAAAAUGUAACGCCUGAUAUUUGUUUCAGACCGUGUGAAAGGGACGUUAAGGCAGCCGUCAACACCUGGCAGAAACUCUGGGAAAAAAAUAUUCUGCCACUUCCACGCAAAAGUCAAUGUUCAGUGCAGUCGUUGAAAGAAACUUCAAGCAUCCUAGGUUGAACCAUCUAAACAGUGCUUAGACCAAGUAAAACUAAUCUUAGAUGGUACUAAUCAAAAAGUCAUUUUAUUUUAUUUAUAUUUAAUAAUUUAUACAUUUAUGUAUAAUGUAAAAUAUUAAUAAUUUAAAUAUUUAUAUUAUGUUUUAUAAAAAACUUAUAUAUUAUAGUUUAUAUUGAUAUAAAAAUAUAAAAUAUAUUUUUUAAUUUUAUUAAUCUUAUAUAUGAUUUUUUAUUAAAAUUUUAAAUUAUAUUAUUUUUAUAUUUUUAUAUUAUUUUAUAUGGUAUUAUUAUAUUAUAUUUUAAAUUAUAAAAUUUAAUUUAAUUUGUCAUGAUCAAUUAAUAAAAUCAAUAUCAAAUGCUUGUUCUCUUGCAAAAUUUGGACUUGGAAAUAUCGGAAAAAGGUACAGGGUGGAAGAGAUGCCUGACUUUAUUUAUAAUGCUGAAGCUGAUACGCUUCAUUACAGUUAAAAUGAAAAGAAGUUUUUCUUUCAAAUAUAUAUAUAUAUAUAUAUAUAUAUGCGUGCUCUAAAGGAUGGUCGAAAAUGUACGAAACUCCCAGACCUGAAGGCCCUAAAACCAGCUGUCAACUCUCAUUUCUAUUUCAGCCAAAACAGUAGCUGUCAUUUUAGCCGGUAAUGUCUUUUGCCUCCUCCCCUCAUUCUCAUAAUUUAAGAAUUUAUUAGUCAUAAGUUUGGAUAUAAUCGAUUAAAUUAGAGUUAAUAUAAUAUUAAUUUUGAGUUUAAAUUUUAUUUUAAAUUUAAAAUUUGAAAUUUGACUCUAAUUCAAUCAAAUUUUAUAUUUUUAAAUCAAGUUUGAUUUGAAACAAAAAUCGAAUUAUUCAAAUUUAUUUGAUUAAAUUUAAUUAACAUGAAAAAAUAAAUUUAAUUUUUAUAUUCGAUAAAAAUUUAAUUAUUUAUAUUUGAGUUUGAGAUAUCUUAUUAAUUAAAAUAAUAAAAAUAUAAAAAUUCGAUUAGAUUCAUGUACUAUCGAGUCAAGUAUAAUAAUACUUAAAGUCAAUUCGAUUGAUAAGUCAAGCUAUUUAAGCUCAAACUCGACUUAAUAAUAAUUGAAUUAAAUUUGAGUUUUAUUUAAAUCGAAUCCGAAUAACUUAUGAAUACUAAUAUAUCAUUUAUACUUUUAGUCAAGACUCAAUUCAUAUUAUUCUUAACCAUUUCUCGUAUUAGAAGUAUCUUUUCUUUUUUAAGGACAUCAAACUUAUUUUUAAAUAGCUCAUAAAUAUUUAAUUACUAAUGCUUUAAUUAAUUAAAUUAUAAGAACUUUAUCUUAUUUAAAUAUUUAUAUUCUUUAACUUAAAUAUAAGCAAUAACACUUUAAGAAAAAAGUAUUUAUUAAAGGUUUGUUUGUUUUGAGUUUACUUAAAUUUUUUAAUUUUGAUUUUCUGUAAGACAUGAGAGGAUUUUUUGUUACAUAAAAAAUUUAGACGUUAUUUGGUUAAGUUUAUAUUUAGAUUUUAUCUAAUUUUUAUUUUAGAAGAAAUUUAUAAAAUUAAUUAAAUUGGGUACAUUUAACAAAUUUUAAUAAUUUUAUAGUCACAAAUUAAAGUUUAGUGACCUAUUCAAAAAUUAAGUGAAAGUUUAAUAACUUUUCACUAUAUAGGUUAAGAGUUUAUAAUUUUAGUAUACUUAAAUAAUUUUAGUGAUUUGAUUAGAAUAAAUUAAAGUUUAGUGACUCAAGUAAAAUUUGAGUAUAAAUUUGAUAUCUUUUGAUGUAAUUUACUGUAAAUAUUAAAAUUUAAACUAAUAUUAUUUUUAAAAUAGGACUGCAUAAAUUGACUUCAAUUAAUCUUCAAAUAGAAAAGUUUUUUAAUACCAAUGUUAUAAACAUCGAAGUCACGAGGAGAGUAGGUUACAAAAAAGGGCGUCACGCCUAGUGUUUUCAUUCAAGUAAAAGGUAGGUUUCCACUAUGUAUAGAGAAGUGCUUAUCAGUUCUCACAUGGGAACACUCUGUAAUUGAAGAGCAAUUGUCUAGAGGUGAUGAUGUACGGACUUUGAAGAAUAAUAGUAGCAGGAGGGCGUCAUUCCCAGCUGGUAAAAGGAUCCAAAUAUCAGCCAUCCAGUUUCCAUGGCAUCCAAAACUAUCUUGAUCUUUCUUUUCAUCUUAUUCCUUUCUCAAUUGCAAUUCACAGAAGCACAAACUUGGGUUAAAGCUGGUUACUGGUAUGCUAAUGGUGAAUUUCCAAUACAAGACAUAAAUUCUGCCUUGUUCACUCAUCUUUCAUGCGCUUUUGCUGAAGUGAACACUUCAACUUAUCAGCUUUUUGUCCCCCCUGUCUCUGAACAAUACUUCUCAACCUUUGCAAGCAUCGUCAAGCGAAAAAACCCGUCUGUUAAAACACUGCUGUCUGUCUGGAAUGGAAUCUCGGCAACAGGAAAAUCUAUCACUGGUGAAAAAGUUAAUGACUCAAUUUUAUCUUC
This 28852-nucleotide long non-coding RNA is filed under the name Durio zibethinus. RNAcentral describes it as "long non-coding RNA (DZIB_LNC000449)". The record is from RNAcentral. Lineage: Eukaryota; Viridiplantae; Streptophyta; Magnoliopsida; Malvales; Malvaceae.